This 509-nucleotide long non-coding RNA is filed under the name Junco hyemalis (dark-eyed junco). Its description in RNAcentral is "lncRNA (ENSJHYG00000010298.1)". Lineage: Eukaryota; Metazoa; Chordata; Aves; Passeriformes; Passerellidae. The record is from RNAcentral.
CAGGGGGUGCUGGGGCUGGCCCUGCCCUAGAGCUUGCACAGCUUCAGCCCCCAAGAUGUGGGAGCAACUCAGUCUUGCAGGGCACGGUACAUCCACAGAGGUCUCAGAACAGGUACCUGAGAAUCCCACUCAAGCCUCAUGAUCUACUUCUGCUACUCCAAUCAUCAAUUACUACUGAGCUUUUGCUAUCUGAGUUGCCCAUCCACGCUGCUGUAUUGUCUUUGUUAAAAGAUGCUGUUAACCAACAACUGGGACCUCUACAACAGUGCACAAGGAGGAUUGGCUCACAAGGUCCCUGCUCCAGGCUAGAGCAGCCAGUGGAAGCACCAACACCAGUAUCACAAAGAGAUGAUGGAGUCAAAAUGACUGCUUUGGUUGGAGCUGGAUUUUUCUCUGAAGUCUGUAGAAGCUUGUUACCAUGUUAAAUGCCCAGCUUUCAUUAAAUCCACACCUGAAGGGUAAGUAAAUGAAUCCUGAAUUUCAUAUUUGAAGGUAUGUGUGCUUUUCAU